UAAAACCACUACGGAAAGUAGAAACCAUACCUUCUGUCAAAAAGACAUGUUUUCCAAUCUAAAAUUCAAAACCCUACAUCCCCAAAUAUUCAUCAUCGUCAUCGUCAUCGUCCUGUAAGUCCUCUUCUCCGGUAAGAUCCCCAAAUAUAAUCACCAAUUUCUUCCAUUUUCAAUCCAUCACUUCCAUAAUCGCACAAUCUUCACAUUUUCAUUCCAUACAUCUUCCAAUUUAUUGAUCAAUAACCAGAUCAGAUCAUGAAUCGCAACUACGAUGAAUUACUGGACGAAAUUUGGGAGCUAAUACUGAACCAAUUAGGAGAUAAUCAUCAUCAACAAUUCGAAUAACUUUCAUUGGUAAGCAAAUUAUUAUUGUCGUUAACCGAUCGGUUACGCCGCCAUUUCACCGUCGUAGAUCAGACGUAAGUCGUUCACGGUAUGAUUUCUGGAUUCAUUUACCGAUUCAAAAACCUAAAAACCCUAGAUAUUAGUUAAUUGCAAAACUGUAACGUAGAAACUGCUAUUCAUGAGAUUGCUCGUACGUCUGUUGCUUUGAAUUUAGAAUCUAUUGAUGUUUCGAUUUAUGUUUUGGUUCUGAUUGAAGAAGUUAGGGUUGAGUAAUAGGAAAAUUAAGGUGUUGAGAUGUGCGAAUGUUGAUAAGUUACGUGAUGUUGAUUUGAUAAAGCGAAGUUUCUGUUGUGAUUUGAUAUUCACAACUAAACAACAAUACGAAUAUGAAUGUAAUCUGAUAGGUCUCUAUUGAUUUUGAGUGAUUACAAACAAGAAAUUGAAAGUGACAAAGAUAACAAUAGAAAGGGAUGGGAAGAUUAGAGCAUACAGAUAGGGAGAUGGGAAGAAGAACACACACUAGUUAAUAAUCUCGAUACCCUCUUCUUUGAUUCUAACAUCCGUUAUAACCUGCAAAGGUUCCUUCAUCUUGAUGGGCCUCUUGGACUAGGCUUCUUAAUUGGGCCUGCUGGCUUAGGUCCACCGACUUCAUAACAUUACCCUCCCCUUUUAAAUUCACCUUGUCCUCAAGGUGCAAGGCGGUAAAAGUUGUGAACAACCCGGAAGUGCAAGCAACUUCACUAGUCACAUAGGACAGUUGAGAGGGUCCAAGGUGUUGUGUACCCGACUUGUGAAAACGUUGUAGAAGUUGUGGUGCCUGACAAUGCGAUUGUAGCAGGAUGUAACAAGCUAUGUUUGGUGGCUGAUGUCCAUAAAGGGCUUCAAUAUUUGUUAAUGCACGGACCAAUUGUGCGGUUGCAAUACCAAAAUGAGUUAAAAGAAUGCCACCCCAAUAAGGAAGUGUGUUUAAUUCAAGGCAAAACCAACUGAUUUCAUCAACCCAUUUUUGCACAGAAGCAUAUUCAACCCAAUUAUACUUCACUUUUGUCAAAAGGGUCCUUGGUCGGAUAGCGUGUUCAAGCUCCAAUUCAGCAAUUAAAAUACGAUGUAGACGUUGCGCAUAACAGGUGACCAGCCACUGAGAAUGGUUAAGCCAAUACUCGUGUAGAGACCUCGUAAACCAUGGUGAUUUCCCAUAACCAGAUAGUAUCACAAUCACAAUAUAUAAUAGAAUAUCUUUUUCUUUUAAUUCGGCCUCAAGAAAGGUCAUGUAAGCUUGUUCCGAAGCUCCACAUUUUGAGUAUAUAUCAGUCACACCAAUUGCUAAAUCACUGUUUGAUAAAAGCCCCGAUCGUAUUAAAUUACCAUGAAAAUUAGGUACCUGCUGAAGAUUUGUUGUGAUAGCAUAAGCUGGUAAAACACACUUUAAAGUUUCCUCAUUUGGUAAUACACCUUUUAGCCUCUGUUCUUUGACUAAAAAUAUUGCUUCUUUAUCAAGUACAUAUAUCCUUGAGGUCCCUGUCACCACAUAUCUCUUACUAGUUUCAUUAAAAAUAGCUUGUGCAUAGAUUAUGUGACCACCUUUGACAAGGAUAGCCACCGUAGUAUGCCCAACUAAUAAAGCUUCAACCAAACUGUUAUUUUUCACCAAAUCAUCUAUCUCGUGUCCCACGUCCAACCAGGUUAUAGAUGCACAAGCAUAGAGAACUAAAAAAAUAGUGGCGUUAACAAGCACCAUCUUUUCAGCAAUCAUUUUGUUAAAAAGCAGCAAAGAGUCAUGCACCUCAUCUUGUUUUGUGAUAUGCACUUUCUUGAAUUCUGAUAUGUUCUCAACCAAAACAUGAUGGAGUUUUAAAACCUCAGUUGCAUUUUCAGUAAUGAUGCAUACUUGCUGAAGUGAAAUUACUGCACCCAUGAACAACAAAAGAGUUGGUUGUUGCAGCCUUUUCAUUACAUACACCUCUUGUAAAUACAGAAUGUUUUCAGCAGUAGCCCCUUCAACGUUGAAGAAAGUCAUUUUGAGAACUAGAAUUCCAUUGGCAACGAGUGUAAUGUUAUCUAUGAAAGUAUAACCCAUUGAAUCUCUACUGAACUGGAACUCAACUAAGAGCCACGGGGCACCACCCAAUUUACUCAAAAAAUUGCCGCAUUUGAAACUUGUUUCCAUGGAUGAGGAUGGUAACCCGUGUCCAUAAAACUUAACCAUUGUAUUGUAAACAGAAGUGGUACCAGUAGGUUUGUGGUUGUUUGGAUCAAUCACGUGGUGGAUUAGUGUCUUUUGAAAACGCGUAGUCCGGUAGUGCUUUUCGUCAAGUGUUAUUUGUUCGAUAAACAUGGUUCUUCCUGGCAACUGAGUAGUAAUAUGGACAGAUGUCCUGCCUUUCCAAAAAAGACGUUUACCCCCCACUUGAAACGUAAGCAUCACAACAUCUGUUCUAGUCGUGGUAACCACUCGAAUUGUGUGUAUACGAUUGUGCUUCGCCUUUGAUGGAACAAAUGCAGCAAGUUGGGCAGGACAUAACACCCAAAUAUGGUCAGAAUGCUGUAACACGUGAGCAAUAACAAUAGGAGUCGGAUCAUAAACCAAAGUAAGAGACCUAUGAAAAGCCAUACUAAAUGGUUCAAAUAUCUUAACAUCCUUCCGAAAAUAAGGCUUGUAAACAGAAAUGGAAUGAGAGAGAAAACCAAAUUCUGUCUCUUGAAAAGUUGAGCCACAAUGUGCAGCUAUGUUUACAGCGGUAUCUGUAGUACAGUUUGUAUGAGGGUCAGGGGGUGCCAGAUCCGCAUCCACAUGAAACAACUUAGAAACAUAAUCACGCAAGAAGGCAUUCCAUAUAAGCACUUUAUCGAACAAGUAAGCUGCAUGAAUGACCCUACACCCAGUUGUUUCCCACGAAAAAUGUAUUCUAAGAACCAAAUGAGAACCACAGCCCCAUGAAACAGCAAGCAAAAACAUCGCAAAAGGAGAAACAAAGUCACUAACAUAUCCAACGCGCUUGACAACUUGAAGAAAAUAAGGAAUUUCAACAUUCAUGAAACUAGCGGUAAAACUCAAAUCCAUUCCAAGCCAAUCAAUAACAAAGGGCAAACUAUGUCCAAGCAUUAACAGAGAAAGUUGUAACUGUGGUAAAUUAGUCAUGAAUGCAUCAUCUAAGGUUGUGCAAUUGUUUGACAUUUCAUCAAAUAGCUGUUGUGCACUAGUGGUGCUACCCAAGGAAGGAUCAUCUAUUCUCAGCUUAUGAUUAGAAAAUUUAUGUGCCAACAAAACCACAUCGAUAUGGUCAAGCAUUAUAAUAAGGUGAUUUGAAUAAAGCAUGUUAAGAAUAUACAGACCAGGAUCAAAACCGAAAUUCAUUCCUUGAACUUCAGUACAAUAAGGCAAAAGGAGACCAUCACUUACCAUAGCAGGUCUAGUCAAUGUGAAAUUCGGUGUAUGAGUAGCAGAAAUAGUGGAUUUCCUAGAAGAUAUAUGAACAAGAUUCGUAACCCAACCCGGUUUCCAUGCAAAGGAGUUAAGAACCAUUGAAUCAACUAAAAAACCAUCAUUACAAACGUUGGUUUCUACCAUAUCAUUCUCCUUUGAUACAUCUGCCAAGACUAAAGGUAGACAAGGUUUAACAUGUUCAAGCACAAAAUUAUAAUACCAUAUAUCCAAUUGGGCAUCCUUCAUUCCUCGUGACUCAUUAACAUUCACUACUGAUUCAGUUUGGAUUUCAGAUACCUCAUCAUUGAUGAUUUCAUGAACUUCAAUACCAUCAGGCAUUUCAUCGAACAACUUGAGAGCAGUUUUCGUGGAGGUCGGAGAACGGAAUCGGUGAAGCAUGGCAGUAGUGAAAUCGUUCCAUGUGAGGUCAUCGCUCCGAAACCAGGAAUUGAACCAGUAGAAUGGUUCAUCCUCAAAUACUUCAAUAACGUAUGAGAAGCGUUCAUCGCCAUAGAUUGAGUAAAAUCGAAAGUAUAGCUCGGAUUGAGAGAUCCACGAGUUAGGAUCAGAGCCAGUGAAACGAGGUAAUUGUGGUUCGAGAUCUUCCAAAGCCAUCGAUGCUAAGGAUCAAUGAAAGCACCAAUGUUGUGAUUUGAUAUUCACAACUAAACAACAAUACGAAUAUGAAUGUAAUCUGAUAGGUCUCUAUUGAUUUUGAGUGAUUACAAACAAGAAAUUGAAAGUGACAAAGAUAACAAUAGAAAGGGAUGGGAAGAUUAGAGCAUACAGAUAGGGAGAUGGGAAGAAGAACACACACUAGUUAAUAAUCUCGAUACCCUCUUCUUUGAUUCUAACAUCCGUUAUAACCUGCAAAGGUUCCUUCAUCUUGAUGGGCCUCUUGGACUAGGCUUCUUAAUUGGGCCUGCUGGCUUAGGUCCACCGACUUCAUAACAGUUUCCUCCGGAUUUGGAGGAACUAGAUGUAAAUUAUCCGCGUAACAAGCUUGAAAUUGAUGAGUUACGUAACGUUGAUUUGAUAUAGCGAAGUUUCAUCCAGAUUUGGAGGAAUUAGAUGUAAAUUAUCCGCGUAAUAAGUUUGAAAUUGAUGAGUUAUGUGAUUUUGAUUUGAUAUAGCGAAGUUUCAUCCAGUUUGAAGGAAUUAGAUGUAAGUUAUCCGCGUAAUAAGCUUGAAAUUGAUGCUUAGCGUAGUUAUAACAUUAGUGAAAUUAUGAUCACUGGUGCUGGAAUUAAAUGUUUGUGUUGUGGUUUGCGGAAUCUGAUUAAAAUUAAUAUCUCAAUGAAUCCUCUGCUUACAGAUAGGUCACUCUUUACAAAAAUCUGAUUUAGUUCUUGAUGAGAACUUUCAUAUUGUUAUUUCUUCAAGGUUUGUCUUUGAAGGGAGUGAUGAAGGUUCAAUUAGUUGGGCACUUGAUGGCGCAUUUUCAUAUUACCUAGCAUUUUCAUAACAUAUAAUUACUUCAUCUUACCAUUUAGUAUUCUUAGUUUCUUACCAUUUAGUAUUCAAAAAGUAUUAUAUGUUAUAACUAUAUCCAGUGACAUAAAUUAUUGAAGCUUAAUGAAGCAUAAGGAACUAGAGAUUAUGUAGAUGUUCUUCAUAUGUUUCAGUGAAUAUGUUCUAACUCUCUAUGUGAUCAAAUGUGUAAUCUCUCUUUUGAGCCAAGUCAAAUAAUACUCACUGGUAAAGAUGUUUGAUCUUGACAGUCGACACUCUAUUAUAGCCCUAAACCCGUGACCCAUUGGUGCCAGAGAUUGCUCACAUGUAAAAAACUUACGAGUCUGAGUACGAGGCCACUGCUCAUAGCUAGACACAUAAGUAUGCCAUGGGCUGAUCUCUUGAGUCUUGUUUGUAUUCUUGGAAUGUCUCAGUGAAGAAAUGGUUGUUAAGAUAUUUCACCUCAGCACAAAGAUGACAACACAAUAAUAGACUGUUGUUUGACCCGCUUGAAUUAUUGCUAAAACUUGUAUUCACAAGAUUUAUAUAUAUUCUGCUACUUCAACUUGCAUAUCUAAUAUUUCCUUUUCGCCACUGGCUACACACAAGGAACUUGUUAGCUAAUCCAAGGUUUACACUCGCCGUACGGGUUAGCACUUAGUAUCAUAAUUGACUUCAUCUUAAAGAGACCUGACUCACACUUUUCCUAAUAGAUACCUGGAUGGGUUAGAUUAUCAAAUUGCUAGGCUUGGAGCAAGUAUGCUAAACUGGAAAGAUCUUUGAGUGAAAAAAAAAAAUGGGCCCGAGCCCUAUUUGAGUCUAAAAUUGCACAACCUGCACUUGACAUGUCAGACUUGUGCAAACUCAAUAUAACAAAGUGCUCAGCGACUCAACUCGAUGUCCUGCAAGGGUUCGGAUAGGAACUGAAUUCGACAACUUUCCUUCAAGAGGCUUGUUCGUCAACUCUUGCUAUUCACACUACCAAACUGGAAUUCAAUAAAACAUGGCUAAGAAAUGAUUCUCCACUGUUGGGUGGCGCGGCUCGUGACCCUAGCCUAGUUCGGUAUAUGAAGCUGGAGCUAAGAAUACACCUGUUGCCUGAUUUUUCUAUUAGGAUGGUGUGCUGCUAAUAGUACUGCUAAUAAUGUAUUCACAAAAGAAUGAGAGCAGGUGACUCUAGGCAUGGCGAGUGCAUGGGGCCUUAAUGGUAAAUUUUGUUUUACUGCAGUUUUGGUAUACACAUUUAUUUUUCUGCUUAUAUAGGUGGAAAUACAAUUCAUAGUGUUCAGCCGGUUUAUGCAUUUACAAUCAACUUAAGUUGAUUCAUAAUUUAUCAUCUCCACCUCUACAUAACACUUGGAAGAGAAAUGGGAAAUUUGGGAUAAAAUCCGAAGUAUGGCUUCUUUCGUGACCUCGCUCUUAGUUGUCAUAUGAAAUUAUGAUUAUGAAGUUAUUGAUCUUUUUUUUUGUAAUUACAAUGUUUAUCAAAGACAAACGGAAGGCGACAAGCAUGAACAUGAUGGAUUAGCCACUUAAAAAAGUAGCAACUCCUGACGGGUCGCAUUUCGUUAAGGUAGAGGUAUCAUGAUUAUUUGUAGGCAGGAUCUUUGACAUUUUGUGCAGGCAGGAGGUCACAGGAACAUGGUAUAUGGCAUAGGAUCUUCGGAUCUGCAUUACAUGGUGACUGGGACGUCAUCCUCUUCUAGCGGAUGUGCAUCAUCAUCUGCUGAGUACCAACGGUCCCUAUAAGAGGCUCAAGCCAUGCGAGAACAAUUGGCAGACAUUCAAGGUCUCGUCUUGAAAAUGAGACAAAGGCAAGGAAAGUCUUAGAACUCAUCUUGAAAUUGAGAGAACGAGAGAAGAUCUUCAACAACACAUAAACGAAGCAGUGUAAAAAGAGUUGCACAACUUCAUGAAGAAUUGACGUCCUAGUAUUUAGUUAUCAGCUGGUAUCGUUUUAAACAUAUGCACGUUAAGAGUUUAUUUGUUUUGUGGUUUAGACGUACUAGAUCUUGCGUUAUGGAUGUUACAAGUUUGUUAGUUGUAUUGUGAUUUUAAAACAUGUUUUAUAAUUUCCGGUGAUUCAUAUUUGCAUUUUUUAGUAAAAUAAGAUCUGAAUACUUUUGGCC
Molecule: long non-coding RNA, 7350 nt
Organism: Helianthus annuus (common sunflower)
Lineage: Eukaryota; Viridiplantae; Streptophyta; Magnoliopsida; Asterales; Asteraceae
Exons: 4
Source: RefSeq, a predicted model, not a curated record